CCUACGGGUGGCAGCAGUGAGGAAUAUUGGUCAAUGGACGGGAGUCUGAACCAGCCAAGCCGCGUGAAGGAUGACUGCCCUAUGGGUUGUAAACUUCUUUUAUAUGGGAAUAAAGUGUUCCACGUGUGGCCUUUUGUAUGUACCCUAUGAAUAAGCAUCGGCUAACUCCGUGCCAGCAGCCGCGGUAAUACGGAGGAUCCGAGCGUUAUCCGGAUUUAUUGGGUUUAAAGGGUGCGUAGGUGGAUUGUUAAGUCAGGUGUGAAAGUUUGCGGCUCAACCGCAUAAUUGCAGUUGAAACUGGCAGGCUUGAGUAAGGGAGAGGUGGGCGGAAUGCGUGGUGUAGCGGUGAAAUGCUUAGAUAUCACGCAGAACUCCGAUUGCGAAGGCAGUUCACCGGACUGAAACUGACACUGAGGCUCGAAAGCGUGGGUAUCAAACAGGAUUAGAUACCCGGGUAGUC
Molecule: ribosomal RNA, 460 nt
Filed under: uncultured bacterium
Lineage: Bacteria
Description: partial 16S ribosomal RNA
Rfam family: Bacterial small subunit ribosomal RNA
Source: RNAcentral